GACGAACGCUGGCGGCGUGCUUAACACAUGCAAGUCGAGCGGAAAGGCCACUUCGGUGGUACUCGAGCGGCGAACGGGUGAGUAACACGUGAGUAAUCUGCCCCUGGCUUUGGGAUAGCCACCGGAAACGGUGAUUAAUACCGGAUACGACCACUUCUCGCAUGGGAUGGUGGUGGAAAGGUUUUUCGGCCAGGGAUGUGCUCGCGGCCUAUCAGCUUGAUGGUGAGGUAAUGGCUCACCAUGGCUUCGACGGGUGGCCGGCCUGAGAGGGUGACCGGUCACACUGGGACUGAGACACGGCCCAGACUCCUACGGGAGGCAGCAGUGGGGAAUAUUGGACGAUGGGUGGAAGCCUGAUCCAGCAACGCCGCGUGAGGGAUGACGGCCUUCGGGUUGUAAACCUCUUUCAGCAGGGACGAAGCGCAAGUGACGGUACCUGCAGAAGAAGCACCGGCCAACUACGUGCCAGCAGCCGCAGUAA
RNAcentral lists this ribosomal RNA (481 nucleotides) under uncultured bacterium. RNAcentral's name for it is "partial 16S ribosomal RNA". It matches the Rfam family "Bacterial small subunit ribosomal RNA", at positions 28 to 523 of the family's 1533-position model. The record is from RNAcentral.